CUUUGUGUCAGUCCCAGCGAGGAUGCUGCCCUUCCCUCGCCCAGGCGAGGCUGGAUGCCCCCGAGCUGGCUCUGCUGCUGCAGCUCUGUGCUCCUUACCGAGCUCCUCGUUACUCCCGUAUCGAUGUCACUUGAAGAUCUGAUUGCCAACAUCAUAAAAACAGUGCUAGGAAAAACCACAAAAUAUUGCACAAGACCCAGGAGGACUGAAAGUUGAAGGAUUUCUUUCAGAGGAUAUAUUGUUUUCACUGGUGAGUAGGUGGAGCCAUUCCAUUUUUCCUGAUUACAGUCUAGAACAGCUCAAGUUGCUGUGACUGGAAUUCUGUUUCUAUGGAUCAUCUUGCUGAAAGAAUUUGACAGCAGCAGAGUUUUUCCCCAGUGCCCUUGUUGUAAAUUGUAUGUGUUUCA
This 407-nucleotide long non-coding RNA is filed under the name Corvus moneduloides (New Caledonian crow). Its description in RNAcentral is "lncRNA (ENSCMUG00000019181.1)". The record is from RNAcentral. Lineage: Eukaryota; Metazoa; Chordata; Aves; Passeriformes; Corvidae.